RNAcentral lists this long non-coding RNA (1073 nucleotides) under Homo sapiens (human). RNAcentral's name for it is "HSALNT0396365". The record is from RNAcentral. Lineage: Eukaryota; Metazoa; Chordata; Mammalia; Primates; Hominidae.
AGUCAGUGGGGACCUGGCAAUGGAAGCCUCAUCAGUGGGUCUUGGAUAGUGAGGCCUAGUCACUGGAGGACUGCACAGACCCAGGCCCAGGGGAUGCCCAAUGCUGGGAGGAGGCUCAGACAGCAGGAAGGAGAGAAGGAAGGAAGGAACUUCCGUAGUACCGAUGCCUACAAAAUUACAACACGUGGUGCUGUUUCUACUCCAUCACCAUGUUCGCUCUUUAUUUCCUAUGUAAUUCUCUAUUCAACCGGCCUCAGUUGAGCACAAAACCAUCCUUGUACCACCAUGAAUAGUUGGCCAUGGCUCUUUGAUAGCAAUUUUUGUUCUGCCGUAGAAAUUAUCCUUGAACCAGAAAAAAAAAUCCCCAAUUCAACACUCCAUUUUUGUGAAGAGCUGGUUCCGAAUUCUGGGUCACUUUUUGGAAAAAAUAUCUGUUGUGGUAAACAGUGCUGCAUCUGUGAUCUCAAGUCUCUACUGGAAUUGGAUAGAGAUGGUGAAUUUCAGCCAGAGCGCCCAAAGAACUCGUGUCCCGCGCUCCUGAACGCCAUCAGCCGCCGCACCUCCAUCUUCCCUCCUCCCACGAGUCUCCUGCUCCCCGUGACUCUGGCCUCCUCGCAGUGUUGCUGGGCCACGUCAGGAAGUGCUGGAGGACGUGGCAUUGCACCAACACCAGGCGGCCAGCCGUGUGGCUCAUCCCGCAAAUCAGGCUCUUCCUGUGCAUGGAGAUGGAGUCCCUCUGGAGGCAGCCCGUGGCCCUGUUCUCGGGCAGGUGGAGCAUGGAGACGACUGGGAACUUCACUAGACACGCAUCCAGCCGGUUCAAGGGCUUGUCGCGCCGUGCACCAGCUUGCAGGAGAAAGCCCAACGCCUCGCCAAGCACGAAGGCCUCCCUUCCCGACUUGAUGAAGGCAGAGUAGCGGUUGAGGUUGCGGCUCACAGUGACCGAGCUCCUGCCCACGUGGGGACCCAGGGAGCCGUCGAGCUCCAGCCCAGGCUUGGACCUGAAGAAGCUGGCAACCCGCGAACGCCAACAGGCACAGUCGAAAAAAGCAAAAGAAAAAUCCCAAACAAAA